GAUGAACGCUGGCGGCGUGCCUAAUACAUGCAAGUCGAGCGAACAGACGAGGAGCUUGCUCCUCUGACGUUAGCGGCGGACGGGUGAGUAACACGUGGAUAACCUACCUAUAAGACUGGGAUAACUUCGGGAAACCGGAGCUAAUACCGGAUAAUAUAUUGAACCGCAUGGUUCAAUAGUGAAAGACGGUUUUGCUGUCACUUAUAGAUGGAUCCGCGCCGCAUUAGCUAGUUGGUAAGGUAACGGCUUACCAAGGCAACGAUGCGUAGCCGACCUGAGAGGGUGAUCGGCCACACUGGAACUGAGACACGGUCCUGACUCCUACGGAAGGCAGCAGUAGGGAAUCUUCCGCAAUGGGCGAAAGCUUGACGGAGCAACGCCGCGUGAGUGAUGAAGGUCUUCGGAUCGUAAAACUCUGUUAUUAGGGAAGAACAAAUGUGUAAGUAACUAUGCACGUCUUGACGGUACCUAAUCAGAAAGCCACGGCUAACUACGUG
Molecule: ribosomal RNA, 497 nt
Filed under: uncultured bacterium
Lineage: Bacteria
Description: partial 16S ribosomal RNA
Rfam family: Bacterial small subunit ribosomal RNA
Source: RNAcentral